AUACGGAGGGCGCGAGCGUUAUUCGGAAUUAUUGGGCGUAAAGCGCGUGUAGGCGGCUGGGAAAGUCGGAUGUGAAAGCCCGGGGCUCAACCCCGGAAUUGCAUACGAAACUUCCCAGCUAGAGUCUCGGAGAGGAGGGCGGAAUUCCCGGUGUAGAGGUGAAAUUCGUAGAUAUUGGGAGGAAUACCAGCGGCGAAGGCGGCCUUCUGGACGGUGACUGACGCUGAGACGCGAAAGCGUGGGGAGCAAACAGGAUUAGAUACCCCAGUAGUCC
This 274-nucleotide ribosomal RNA is filed under the name uncultured bacterium. RNAcentral describes it as "partial 16S ribosomal RNA". It matches the Rfam family "Bacterial small subunit ribosomal RNA", at positions 523 to 796 of the family's 1533-position model. The record is from RNAcentral.